UGCCAGCAGCCGCGGUAAUACGAAGGGACCUAGCGUAGUUCGGAAUUACUGGGCUUAAAGAGCUCGUAGGUGGUUAUAAAAGUUGAUGGUGAAAUCCCAAGGCUCAACCUUGGAACUGCCAUCAAAACUUUUUAGCUAGAGUAUGAUAGAGGAAAGCAGAAUUUCUAGUGUAGAGGUGAAAUUCGUAGAUAUUAGAAAGAAUACCAAUUGCGAAGGCAGCUUUCUGGAUCAUUACUGACACUGAGGAACGAAAGCAUGGGUAGCGAAGAGGAUUAGAUA
This 279-nucleotide ribosomal RNA is filed under the name uncultured bacterium. Its description in RNAcentral is "partial 16S ribosomal RNA". It matches the Rfam family "Bacterial small subunit ribosomal RNA", at positions 506 to 784 of the family's 1533-position model. The record is from RNAcentral.